Small nuclear RNA from Cyclopterus lumpus (lumpfish), 57 nucleotides. Its record names the gene U7. It matches the Rfam family "U7 small nuclear RNA". Rfam says of the family: Animal histone pre-mRNAs are spliced by a different mechanism than nuclear pre-mRNAs and self-splicing introns. This processing involves the U7 snRNP, which contains only one RNA species: U7. Lineage: Eukaryota; Metazoa; Chordata; Actinopteri; Perciformes; Cyclopteridae. The record is from Ensembl.
AGGAAUCAUUGCUCUUUUAGUAAUUUUCUAGAAGGAUUUCCAUAAAGGGAAUCCCAC